UUUCUUGCUGUUCUUGACCUGUUUUAUUAGCAGAGGUGGAAAGUAACAAAGUACAAAUACUUCAAGACAAAAGAGUGUGAGACAAACUUCACUCAGAGAUGAAGGGAGGUGUAGGAUGACAGAGAGGCCACGAGAGAAAGAAGAGAGGUUAGAUUAAAAGGACUGGAUUUAUUGGCUAGUCGAUACCACAAAAACCAAAUCCUGCCACAGUAAUCUGAUCGAUGUCGGAGCAGCCAUAUGUCAAAGCAGCUUAUGAUUAGCUGUCACUGUAUGAAACCCUUGGCACAAGCCUGCGGAUUUUUCUGAGGCCCCAUUGAAAGAGUGACCUGCUGAAAUGAUCUGAGGGCAGAGGAUCUUCUCUACUUACAGCUGUCUGCUCCCUCAUUUGUCUUUGUUAUGCUUACCCCGCCUUUUAAAUUUAAUUGAAUGUGGAUUUUUUUUAACUCCACUUGAAGUUUGUUUCUUUUCAGUAAUUGUGUGUCUG
This is a long non-coding RNA of Oreochromis aureus, 484 nucleotides long. The record is from Ensembl. NCBI's taxonomy places the organism in Eukaryota, Metazoa, Chordata, Actinopteri, Cichliformes, Cichlidae.